UGCCAACUCCUGCAAACCCAUCUGU
This 25-nucleotide non-coding RNA is filed under the name Mus musculus (house mouse). Lineage: Eukaryota; Metazoa; Chordata; Mammalia; Rodentia; Muridae. The record is from RNAcentral.